UGAUGCACUAACUACAAACAUUUUGGAGCUGAUUAUUACUUAUAAGCUAAUGAAAAGAAAAAUAAGAAACAGUGGAGAUAGAAUUAAAAAUAUAACACAAAAAUCCAAAAGUCGUAUGAGGGAGACAGAGGGAGAGAUGCUGAUGAUCAUAAAGGAAAGAAAACAAACAUCAGCAGACAAUAAACCACAUAUAAUAGGCAUAUCACUUAGACUUAAAAUUUAAAUGUGUAUAGUUGUGGGCACUACAAAAACCUAAGAAUCGCAGGAACACACUUGAAAUAAAAGUGACAUGAAUGGGAAGUUUGUCAAAACAGAAUUGAUAAAAGUUUGGUGUUCUAAAUUCUUUUAUAUUUACUUCAAUCAUUACAAAUAAAAAAUAUAAAAGCAAGAAUAAGA
Molecule: unclassified non-coding RNA, 396 nt
Filed under: Hevea brasiliensis (rubber tree)
Lineage: Eukaryota; Viridiplantae; Streptophyta; Magnoliopsida; Malpighiales; Euphorbiaceae
Source: RNAcentral